Molecule: transfer RNA, 74 nt
Filed under: Aldrovandia affinis
Lineage: Eukaryota; Metazoa; Chordata; Actinopteri; Notacanthiformes; Halosauridae
Also listed under: 2 other names
Description: tRNA-Leu (UUR)
Rfam family: tRNA
About the family: Transfer RNA (tRNA) molecules are approximately 80 nucleotides in length. Their secondary structure includes four short double-helical elements and three loops (D, anti-codon, and T loops).
Source: RNAcentral
ACUAAGGUGGCAGAGCCUGGUAAUUGCAAAAGGCCUAAGCCCUUUCACCAGAGGUUCAAAUCCUCUCCUCAGUU